GACGAACGCUGGCGGCGUGCUUAACACAUGCAAGUCGAACGGAAAGGCCCUGCUUUUGUGGGGUGCUCGAGUGGCGAACGGGUGAGUAGCACGUGAGUAACCUGCCCUUGACUUUGGGAUAACUUCAGGAAACUGGGGCUAAUACCGGAUAGGAGCUCCUGCUGCAUGGUGGGGGUUGGAAAGUUUCGGCGGUUGGGGAUGGACUCGCGGCUUAUCAGCUUGUUGGUGGGGUAGUGGCUUACCAAGGCUUUGACGGGUAGCCGGCCUGAGAGGGUGACCGGCCACAUUGGGACUGAGAUACGGCCCAGACUCCUACGGGAGGCAGCAGUGGGGAAUAUUGCACAAUGGGCGGAAGCCUGAUGCAGCAACGCCGCGUGCGGGAUGACGGCCUUCGGGUUGCAAACCGCUUUCGCCUGUGACGAAGCGUGAGUGACGGUAAUGGGUAAAGAAGCACCGGCUAACUACGUG
RNAcentral lists this ribosomal RNA (468 nucleotides) under uncultured bacterium. Its description in RNAcentral is "partial 16S ribosomal RNA". It matches the Rfam family "Bacterial small subunit ribosomal RNA", at positions 28 to 507 of the family's 1533-position model. The record is from RNAcentral.